CCCUUAGAUGUUCUGGGCCGCACGCGCGCUACACUGUUCGACGCAGCGAGUCUUAACCUUGACCGAAAGGUUUGGGUAAUCUUCAGCAAAGUCGAACGUGAUGGGGAUCGAUCAUUGCAAUUAUUGAUCGUGAACGAGGAAUUCCUAGUAAGUGCAAGUCAUCAACUUGCGCUGAUUACGUCCCUGCCCUUUGUACACACCGCCCGUCGCUACUACCGAUUGAAUGGUUUAGUGAGAUCUCUGGAUUGACGCUGGCUAGGGGGCGACCCUUGGCCAGGCUGUCGAGAAACUGCUCAAACUUGAUCAUUUAGAGGAAGUAAAAGUCGUAACA
This 331-nucleotide ribosomal RNA is filed under the name uncultured eukaryote. RNAcentral describes it as "partial 18S ribosomal RNA". It matches the Rfam family "Eukaryotic small subunit ribosomal RNA", at positions 1470 to 1796 of the family's 1831-position model. The record is from RNAcentral.